Molecule: ribosomal RNA, 407 nt
Filed under: uncultured bacterium
Lineage: Bacteria
Description: partial 16S ribosomal RNA
Rfam family: Bacterial small subunit ribosomal RNA
Source: RNAcentral
GACGAACGCUGGCGGCGUGCCUAAUACAUGCAAGUAGGACGCAGUUGCGAACGGGUGAGUAACGCGUAGGUAACUACCUAUUAGAGGGGGAUAACUAUUGGAAACGAUAGCUAAUACCGCAUACUAGUAGAUGGACCUGCGUUGUAUUAGCUAGUAGGUAGGGUAAUGGCCUACCUAGGCAACGCUACAUAGCCGACCUGGAAAGGUGAACGGCCAAACUGGGACUGAGACACGGCCCAGACUCCUAAGGGAGGCAGCAGUAGGGAAACUUCGGCAAUUGGGGGAACCCUGACCGAGCAAAGCAGCGUGAGUGAAGAAGGUUUUCGGGUCGUAAAGCUCUGUUGUUAAGGAAGCGGUACUUAACCAGAAAGGGACGGCUAACUACGUGCCAGCAGCCGCGGUAAUUC